This 3343-nucleotide long non-coding RNA is filed under the name Zea mays. RNAcentral describes it as "long non-coding RNA (ZMAY_LNC004826)". Lineage: Eukaryota; Viridiplantae; Streptophyta; Magnoliopsida; Poales; Poaceae. The record is from RNAcentral.
UGGAUACAAUCAAUUCCUGACCUCGCGCGAGUGUUAGAAAAAUCACUCGACUUCUACCGAGAUCCCUAGUUAGCAAAGCAGCUACUCGACCUAGCAUACUAGUAUCCAUCUCAAAAAGGAAUCCUGAGUUCAUGCAACUAGGGUUUCAGGCAACUCCUACACUUAAGUGUACAGUAUAAACCUACAAUCAUUAAGUGCACUAAAAUAGCAUAUAUAACGGUUAUGCAUAAAACCGGGGCUUGCUUUUAAUUUAACACUUAGAUAGUGUUUACUGGGGGUACUCGCUUGGCGAGCAUCCACUGGUUAGGUACAUUCUUCAGGUCGUCCACCAACUGCAUCUUGUGGGUGGCACCACAUCACUUGCACGCUCAUCCUCUCUCGGUCCUAAAUGAGGUGCAAGAUGCAUAUGUAUGAAUAUAAUGAAAUAGCACAAGAUACUUUAAGUACAUGUUAGCGAAUUAAACACUAAGUAGCGAGACAUCAUAAGCAACCACACACACUAGCGUUAGCUACUACAUAUCAUUGAGCGCACAACAUUAACACCACUAAAAUACGACAAACAUUUUGUAUAUUUACGCAACACAAAUACAACCUCAUAAGUACGAUCAUUUAUUUAAUUUGCUACGGCUUUUCAUUAGUUCUUCUAUUUAUCACACAAAAGCAUACUAAGCACAAGUUCAACAGAGGAGGGAUUCCUAUCCACAACCAACUACUCAAGCAAGCACAUUAAUUAUGGAGCGCAUGUUAACCUAAGUUUAGACAUUACAAGUCUAUGUAUGUUAAGUGCUAACUAAGCAUUUUUAGCUAAAUGGGUGAACUCAACCAUCAAAUGGGCGCUUGCAGAUUUUUGGACAACAGUACAGCAGUUACUUGUUUUAAUCAUAACUUUUCAAAUAUUAAUCCAAAAAUAGCAAACUAGGAUUUUCUGGAAAGUUUAAAAAGUGCUCUACAACUUUGGUAUUGUCAUCACAACAUCAUUCAAUACGUAGCAAGGUCAAAACGUGCUAAUACAACAGCUCUAUCCAAAUUUGGACAGAUUCAGGCUUGCAACUUCAAAAAUUCACAACUAAAGAUUCAGACAUCCAAACAAAGUGAUCUUAGACUUUCUGGAAAGCUAAUUAAAUGUUCUACAAAUUAUUUAUAAACAUCUCAAGGUGAUUGAAUAUUUAACUAAGGAUAAAAUACACUAGAAGACGUUGCUGUCCAAAACUGGACAGAUUCAGACUUCACACUUCAAACGCAUGUAACUUAAUCUUCAGACCACCAAAAAGAGUGAUCCAAGACUUUUUGGAAAGCUUAGAAAAAGCACUACAUAACUUCUAUAAUCACCAAGAAUUGAUUCCAAGUUUAAUUAAAUCAAAUAUUACAGUUUUCGAAAUAUGUUCUGACAGUGGAUAGAACACAGCAAACAGUUUGUAAAAUUCAUAACUCCUAAACUGUCAUUGCUAUGGUUGUGAAAUUGUAACAUAAGAAAGAUAAGGAAAGCAUCUACAACUUUCUUAUAACGACCACGAACAGAUUGUAACAUUAACUUGAGCAAACAAUACAGUUUCUGAAAUCUGUACAGAAUUUGGACAGAUUCAGUUACUGAAUUUGUGAAAAGCAUAACUUCUAAACGAUCAGACUUAUGACUGUCAAAUUUUAACGCAAAUAAGAUAAUAAAGUUAUCUACAACUUUCUUGUGACUACCAAUAACUGAUUUCAAAAUUAACUUAAGCAACCAUUGGAAUCUCUGAAAUCUGUUUAGAAAUCCGACAGAUUCAGGUGCUGGACUUAUGAAAAGCAUAACUCCUAAACGAUCAGGUUUAUGACUGUCAAAUUUUAGUGCAAGCAAGAUAAUAAGGUUAUCUACAACUCUUCUAUAUGACUUUUCUAUAGAAAACAUGAUUUAGUUCUUAAAACAUACAACACGAGGAAAUCACUGUGGGCAGUCCAAAACAGCAACUAAUAAUUUUUAGCUUCUAUUUACUUCAAAAAUCGUCGCGUUCUAGAGACUUGAAUUAUUCUAACACUUACCAUUUGUUAGAGUUAAAACAAUCAAAUGGGGAGCAACAAGUCACUUACAAAUUUCAUCCGAGUCAUUUCGUGCGCUAGAGUUACCACACAAUUAACAAACACAUGCACCAAAAUAAAGUAUUUUGGCACACAUAUCCGACAUCACUCAAAAUUAUGAUGAAGUACUAAUACUUAACUUUAGACCAUCAUGACGUAACCAUUUAACCUCUAAUUGGUUUUAAGGUGUAACUCAAGCAUUCCAUGAAACAUGCAUGAUUUUGUUUACUCCUAUUUUUUCACUAACUCUUGUAAUUAUAAAAGGGGUGUUAUUUUAGCACCAUAUGAAACUAUCUAAUUUGGGGCUGGAAUUUUUAUGAGGUAUAGGUAAUAAGAAAUGAUGACUAAUGUAUAAAUUUCACAUGCUCAGGUUUUAUAUUUUAUUUACUACAAAAAUAACAAUUUGUUAAUGCAAUAAAGCAUGUGAGAGCAAGUUAAAUCUAAAACUAAUUAUUUUCUGUGGAUGCAUGACCAUAUUAAGUUUUCUCAGGCUACUAUAAUAUCAUGUAAGAACAGUGUAACACCAUUUUCCAUUUUUGCAUCUAUACAUUAUUUUUAAAUCAUUUAAAACUACUUAAGGUGCAUUAAACAAGUUAAAUCACUAACCUAAUCAUACAUGCACAACAAUUCAUGAAAUUUGUACCCGUCACCAAGCAUCACACCAAGAGUCUACUGUAAUAAUCUCAACCCAUUUGGAGCACUAGAGCUACAGAUCCAAAAAUAACAAGCAAAUACUUCUUCUUUUCUCUAUUUAAAUUGUUUUAAUUAACACACCAAGAAACCAGUGAACAACAUAUAAGUUUUAUAUUUUUCUUAGAUGGAGUAUGACAGCAUAUAACUAACAAAACAAGUUUCAUCAUUUUUGGAUUUAUAUAAGUAAAAUUAUGGAGAGAAGCAAGUUCGUUUAUUCUCUAAACCUCUUUUAAAGAUUUAAUUUGCACAGACAAAAACGUCUACUAAAACAGGUCAUAUUAUAGAUCUAAUAGGUAGGGCAUUUCAUAUGGAAGCUAACAAAACAAGUCUUACUAUUUUAGGAGCUCCCAAACUCGAGUUAUAGAUUUUAGAAGAAAGUGCAAGAAUCUGAAAUUUCAGCACAUAAGUUUUUGACCCGGAGCUCACCUACACCUUGCUGCCGUAGAGGAGGGGGAGACGCCAUGGGAGGGCUGCCAAGGUGAGGGAGGAGCAUGGGAGGGCUCGGUCGCCAGCUCCAUGGGAGGAGGCUGCUGCUGCAUGGGGAGCUAGAGAGAGAGAUAGAGAGAGAGGAAGGGAGUAGGGAAAGUGGCAUGGGGAG